AGGGCAAUUAUGGUCUGUCAUUAAAUAUAUCUCUAUCGUCUACCGAAGGUGGAAUUAUAUUGUAGCUCAAAGCAUACUAAAGUUAUAAAUCGGGGUUUAAUAAAAUGAACGCGUCGAUAGAUAAAUGAUAAGUGUGUGAGUGACCACUAUUGUCUUUUAUAAAAAUCCAUUCAAUAGCUGCCUUUAUUUCGUUGCGGAAUGUGUUUUGGAACAAUAAAAUGCACGGAUUUUUCAAAUUGACAGCUGUGACACCUGUCAAAGUUUGAUUUGACAUAUUGACAAAUGUCACAUACACCCGAAAAACAUAGAAGUCAAAGAUGAAAGUAAGUUGUGUGUUGUAAAAACUAAAGGAAUUCCACCAAAAAUGUUGAUGCAAGACGGACAAGCGGGCAGGAGAAUGAUAGUGAAAUAUUUAAGAGGAUACGUACCCGGGAGCACAAACGUUUACGAUAAUAUCGUUAUCUCUAUCGCUCUUCAAUAUUGGCGCGACAGAGCCAGACUGUGUUUCAAUCGGCGUCUAGCGACGGCGAAUUUCCUCUGAGCAAUUCAGUCAGGGUAUGCUGCAAACAUACCAAGGAGCCAACAAGGAAUGUUGCCUAGGCUUGCCGCGAGAGAUGUGAAAUGCCAUGACACAGACAAAUUUUAAGUGGGCAUGAUAUAUAAUUAUAUACUCAACAACAGCGGGCACUACAAGGCUCUGGCAUAGAGUACCUAGAGCAUGGAAUGAGGCUACCAUUGCAUAGUUAAAUAUGAUGUGGCUCCUUCUUGUCAUACUUUCUACAGCUGCAGAAAAAGAAAAACAAUAUGACAGUGAACCAUACUUCGGCCAGUGAGGUGUAAUUGAACUAAAUGCCAUAAAACCAACUUGUUUGAAAUAGUUUGAAUUGGUCCAGAAAAGUUAUAAGUUCAUGGUAUAUUAGAAAACACUGAAGAUGUCGAGGAAAUACAAGAAGUUGAUGUCGAUCUAAUCAGAGAUAUUAAUUAUUAGAAAUGAAUGUAUUUGAAAUACUAAUAUA
Molecule: long non-coding RNA, 1016 nt
Filed under: Leguminivora glycinivorella
Lineage: Eukaryota; Metazoa; Arthropoda; Insecta; Lepidoptera; Tortricidae
Description: uncharacterized LOC125234079
Source: RNAcentral